CCAGGAACUGGCUGGAGAUUCGAGAAAACCACAGGUC
RNAcentral lists this ribosomal RNA (37 nucleotides) under Chama macerophylla. RNAcentral describes it as "partial 18S ribosomal RNA". Lineage: Eukaryota; Metazoa; Mollusca; Bivalvia; Venerida; Chamidae. The record is from RNAcentral.